AGAGUUUGAUCCUGGCUCAGAACGAACGCUGGCGGCAGGCCUAACACAUGCAAGUCGAACGAACCUUCGGGUGAGUGGCGCACGGGUGCGUAACCCCCUUGGAAUAUACACAUAGGUGAGGAAUAACGUAGAGAAAUUUGCGCUAAUACCUCAUAAUGACUCCGGUCCAAAGAUUUAUCGCCUAUGAAUUAGCCCGCGUCAGAUUAGAUAGUUGGUGAGGUAAAGGCUCACCAAGUCUACGAUCUGUAGGGGGUCUGAGAGGAUGAUCCCCCACACUGGUACUGAGACACGGACCAGACUCCUACGGGAGGCAGCAGUGAGGAAUAUUGGACAAUGGGGGCAACCCUGAUCCAGCCAUGCCGCGUGAGUGAAGAAGGCCUUAGGGUUGUAAAGCUCUUUCAAUAGUGAAGAUAAUGACGGUAACUAUACAAGAAGCUCCGGCUAAAUUCGUGCCAGCAGCCGCGGUAAUACGAAUGGAGCAAGCGUUGUUCGGAAUCACUGGGCUUAAAGCGUAUGUAGGCGGACUAGCAAGUCAGGAGUGAAAUCCCGGGGCUCAACCCCGGAACUGCUCUUGAAACUGCAAGUCUAGAAUCCUGGAGAGGUUGGGAGAAUUCCUAGUGUAGAGGUGA
Molecule: ribosomal RNA, 629 nt
Filed under: uncultured Alphaproteobacteria bacterium
Lineage: Bacteria; Pseudomonadati; Pseudomonadota; Alphaproteobacteria
Description: bacterial SSU rRNA
Rfam family: Bacterial small subunit ribosomal RNA
Source: RNAcentral